GACAGAAUUCUCUCCAGGAAACUGUGUGUGCUGUGCAGCAGACGCUGAGACCUGAAGAAUCAAGGUCCACCUGGUGGGAGAAACCUGAGUCCAGGGCAGAAGAAUCUCACUAUUUUAUUGGAUCGUCACAAUAACCUGCAUGAGCAACUCCUCAGCACAAAACAUUUGUCUCUGGGCAAGAGCAGGAGCAUUAACCGUGUGUGUGCCAUCGCCAGGCCCAGACAGUCCCUGCAGCCACGUGCAGCCAGUGAUCGGGACCAGGGGCAGCUGGAGAAGGGAAGAGAAAUGAGCCCGGUUCCCUCAGCUUCACUGUGUGCCCAUCAUGUGCCAGAUGAGCUCAGUAGCUGAAUGGAGAGGACAGAAGAAUCAGUAAACUUGAAAAUGGAACAACGAUAGACUUUAGAAAAGAACAGAGUCUCAAGGAUCUUUGAACUAUAACAAAAGAGCUAACCUUUGAUCAGAGUUCUAGAAGGAGAGAAGAAGGAGGGUGGGGCUGAGAAAGUACACAAAGAAAUAAUGCCAAAAACUCCACAAAUUUGGCUAAAGACAAAAACUUGCGGAUUCAAAAGUUGAGUAAGCCACACAUGGGAUAAAUCUAAAGAAAUUCGCUUCAGCACACAACAUAGUCAAACUUUAGAAAACUAAAGACAAAGAAAAAACCUUGAAAGAAACAAUAGAGAAAUGACACCUUACUUGUAGGAGAAAAACUAUUUAAAUGACAGCAAUUUUCUAAUCAGAAACCGUGGGGCCGAAAGGAGCUGUCACAACAGUUUUCAAGUGCUCAAAGAAAAGAGCCAUCAACCAAGAAUCCUAUAUCCAGCAAAAAAUAUCCUUCAGGAAUAAAGGGGGAAAUCAAGACAUUCUAAGAUGAAUGAAAAUUGAGAUAACUUGUUGCCAUUAAACCUAAACUAAGGGAAGUUGUCUAAACAGAAAGAAUAAAAGAAGGAACUUUGAGCACUAGGAAGAAAGAAGGAAUACAGUAAGC
This 985-nucleotide long non-coding RNA is filed under the name Equus caballus (horse). Its description in RNAcentral is "lncRNA (ENSECAG00000033337.2)". The record is from RNAcentral. Lineage: Eukaryota; Metazoa; Chordata; Mammalia; Perissodactyla; Equidae.